CCUCAGGCCGAGCACGCGCCUGCGCAUUAACCGCCCCCGCCUCCUUUUCCCGCCGCCCGAGGGGGCGUGGGCAGGGCAGGGCGCAUGCGCAGUGAACGUGGCGCUGGUUGCAAGAGAUGGGGCUUGACGCCCCUAGUUUCCGCUGGUUUCCCGGGGGGUCCCUCGAGCUGGGAGAGCGAGCCCGUCGAUCGAAGCCUUCCUCUAGGUAAAUCCUGGGUCUGCGGGGCGCCUUCCACACGCGCAGGCCCGAAGUUGAGGGGGAGGCCCGCGGGGACUGGGGGACGGCGGGUCGCUCCGGGCCUCAGUUUCCCCUUCGGAGCGGCCAGCACGUCGGGCAAACGCUUUCCCGAGGCCGUGUGGGGAGGUGAGGGGGAAGCAGAGGUCAGAGGUUGAAGAUCACUGGCCAAGGGGGGCGUUCAGUGGGGCAGGGGAUCCCCAGCACAAGCCACCGGAAUGGGAACUCCAGGAGGCCAGACCCCGACGCCUGGAACCAGCAGCGCCUGGAACCGAGCAACGCCUGGAAUCGGGCCAGACCACCCUUCUCUCCCACCUGGAAGACUGGACGGCCCCCUCUCCCUCUGCUUCUGCUCUCCUGCCUCUUCUUCUCAGGGAGCUCCAGGCUGUUCCACCCACAGCAGCAUGCAGAGCAAUCUUUUAGAAACAGAAGUGAGAUCCAGGGCACAGCUUUGCUCAGUGCUUCCAAACGGCUUUCCGCUGAACUUGGAAUAAAUUCUGAACUUCCCAGUCAGGCUGGCGAAGCCCCCGAUGCUUUGCUCCCGUCUCCCCCUUGCUCGUUGCAGUUCGGCCACGUGGGUCUUUCUGGGUCUUUCCAGACUCCUUCCAGCCUCAGGAUCUUUGCACUUGCUGAUCCCUCUGCUUGGGCCUCUGUGUCCCAUGUCUUACCUAGAUUUGAGUCCCAGCUCCACUCCUCCAGGAUGAUCUAGACAAGGAGGACCUCUAGCCCAUGGGCCACAUGUGACUUGCGAGCUAAGAAUUUACAUGUUUAGUUGGUUGGGAAAAAAAGAAGCGUAUCUCAUCCUGUGAAAAUUGUAUGAAGUUUGAAUGUCGGUGUCCAUCAAUAAAGUUUUCAUUGCAAACAGCCACA
Non-coding RNA from Equus caballus (horse), 1105 nucleotides. NCBI's taxonomy places the organism in Eukaryota, Metazoa, Chordata, Mammalia, Perissodactyla, Equidae. The record is from RefSeq and is a predicted model, not a curated record.